RNAcentral lists this long non-coding RNA (11013 nucleotides) under Lynx pardinus (Iberian lynx). The record is from RNAcentral. Lineage: Eukaryota; Metazoa; Chordata; Mammalia; Carnivora; Felidae.
AGAGCAUCGUAACGGCAGGCAGGGUGCAGCUCGAAGUCGAAGACUCGGAAGGAAAGGGACACAGUCUGGCCCUCAGGGACCUGACGACGAGGACAGGGGAGAGGACCUGCAAAGUCAGGCCACACACAACCCAGGCAAAGGAUACUUCCCUUUCCCCAAGCGUUUCAUACGGACACUGGGCCUGAACAGGAAGGGACGCCAUCAGGGAGCAGAGCAGAGGGCCUGGGCUCUGCAGGAGCUCAUUGCCCAGGGGACAAGCCCUGGGGUCUGUGGAGAGAUUCAAGGACCAGAAAUAAAACUGGGAGUAGAAGAGCAGGCCUGGAGUUAAGGUGUGAGGACACUUUGCCACAUGUUACUGUGGGCACUGCUGCCAUCAGUGAAGAGGGGAGGGGGCCUGGACUUCCCUGGGCGCAGUGGUGCAGGGAGGAGGGCGGCAGGGGCUGGGUGGACCCGGGUUCUCUUAGCAGUCAGGCCUCAGAGACUUCAACAAGGGGGUAGCGAAGAGAGGGUCUUUCUCACCGUUAUUGUCCAGAUGCAUUCCUUAUUAGGGGGGUAGAGGUUGGGGAAACCCUCACUUGCCACGUAACCAGACUCCCCAGUCACAUCCCCUCCGCACAGGAACACAGGUCUGGAGAACAGAAGAGGGGGCAGCCAUGAGUGGAGGAGAGCUUGGGAAGGAUAGGGUAAUGAGGGUGAGGGGCCAGAGAGGGAAGCCAGGGGGAUGAGGGAGAAAGGGGGUCUGGGGCAGCUUCAGCCAGCCAGGCUGGGAUUGAGAGGAUCAGGAACAUGUGGCUGUCUCUGCAACACCCCCCAAUCCCCACCCCCACCCCAACAGGAAUUCCCGGAAUCCUCCUCGGGCUGUUCCUCACUCUCCCCCCUCGCGCCCUGCCUGGCAGUCGGGGACAGGAGCCGCCUAACUACUUCCAGAUGUGGACACAGCCACGAGGCCAUGGGGGGGGAGGGGGCGGGGAGAUGAGAAGCAGCAGUGAUGGCCCUCAUAUUGAACCUGGAGACCAGGGUCCCCCAGCUCCCAACCUUUGCCCUGCUCCUGUUCCUGCUAACUACUUGAGUAUCUGAUUCCCAAGUCUCCCACUCGCUUCCCCCACCAUCUCUAAUUCCCUCCUGGAAUCCAGAUGUCCAGAUACCAGGCAAGUUGAAGGUCUUGGAGCUCUCAGGUUCCAUGGUGGGGGGCAAGGGUCUGGGAGGAUGGGGAAACUUAGAGGGCAGGGGACAAAGGGUGGAGGAAUGGUGGCUAGUGGUGCCCCGCUGGAGACAGUGGUCUUGGAGCAGGGAGGGAGAACUUGGGGCCUGGGGGAGGGUGGGGGCUGCGGGAAAUCUGGGGGGGUGGUGUGUUAGUGAAAGGAUUCACAGGAUCCACAGGCAAAACCCCCAAGAAUCAGGGCUUUUGAAGCUCACUCAAGCUAUCUGGAAGGUGCCAAGAGACCUACCUGGUGUAGUUGGGGGUCUGGCCCUGGGCGAAAGGCAGCAGGGCCCAGGCAGUGAGGAGGGGCCCCAAGAGGGAGGCAGUGGCAGCAGGCAUCAUGGCCGGGGGGAGAGGCGCUGGGGUCCUCGAGACCGAGGCAGCAGCUGAGUUUAGCAGCGGCAGCAGCAGCAGCAGGGAUAAUCAGUGCCAGAUGAGGCAGCCUCGGGUGUGUGGGCGUGGGGACUGGCCAGCGGGGCGGGCGGUGGGGAAGGCGGGACAGGGAGAGUGCAGUUGGGACAGUGGUGAGUCCAGGGGCCUCUCUAGGUCUAGGACACAUAAAUAUUGACCUAAGUAGGGGGUGGAGCAACGAAGGGCAGAGGGAGCAUCAACCCUCAGCUGUAAUGCAGGCAUCAAGUAAUGUCAUCUGGAAGCCUGCUGUGUCCAGUACCCAAGCAUCCUGUGAACACAGCCUCUGGUCCUUCCUCAUGAUCCUCCCCAUGCCUGCCUCCUCAGCACCCGUAGAAAGUCCUUCCCUAGACCCCCAACAACUAGUCACUCACCCCCUUCCUGACCACCCCCCUGCUCCAGCUGAUUUUCCGCUUCAAAUUUCUACUGUCUUCUUUGCAUCCCUGGACCAGACUAGGCCAAGGAGAAAAUUCUUUCUGCCCGCCCAUUUUCCCUCCCAAAUAUUUGGAGAUCCGGGAGUGGGUUAGAUGUGGAUAAAGGGAGCAUCCCUCUUAGUGGGGAGGAGGAUGGAGGAGAAAGUGAGGGAAGGAAGGUUAAACAGAGGAGGGGAGGAGGGGGCUGACUUCACAGGGACCGAGGUCAGAAGCAGGUGGCCCCCUCAGGAUGGGAGUAAGUCUGACAGACAGAGGAUCCAUAAGGGGACCGAGUAGCAUAUGUUGACUGCAUUGUUCCAGAAGGUGGGGCUUGAACUUCAAGUCAAGAAGCCUGGGCCACUCUUGGGAGUGGGAGGGGAAAGAGAGCUCUAAGAUUCAGGUGGUCAGUUCAGCAGCACCUGAAUGCUUGAGCCACUUCUGCUCUCUCUGCCUCCUCGUCCAUCCCCCUGCCUUCCAUCGCCCUCCUGAUUGGGGGGCAUUGGGGCCCCCAUCCCCUGCCUUAUUUUCCUCCCAGGCCCCAGGGUUCCAAACAGGGCCUCACUUCAGCCUUUUAUUCUAUUUGCCCAUCAAAUCUCUUGUCCAUGAUAGUCAGGUUGGGGGUCCCUCCCGGGCAGCCCCCUGAACAUUUUACAAAACGGUUCCCUGCCCACCCUGGCAAGCCUAGCAAUUCCCACCCCUCCCCAUGUGCACAUACAAUGUUUAUUGCUACCAUCCCACUCUCCUUAGCUCCUGGCCCAGGGCCAGACUCUCCCUCCAGGGGUAAGACUAGGAAAGGGGCUCAGCUCUCAGGGGUUGAGGGGCCCGGGCCAACCCCUCCAGCAGCCCUCUGCAGCAUGUCCAGGGCCUCCCAGAAGAAAUCUUUCUGUGCAGCCAUCAAGGGCAUCCAACCCACGAUCUCCUUCAUCUUUUCCAUGCGAUCCUGCAACGUGGAGCAACUGUGGAUCUGGCUGAGGUACUCCUCACAGGCCCGGGCUGCCCCCCCAGGGUCCUGGGGUGCUCCAGCUCCCAGGCCAGGCUCGGGGGUCCCCACCACCCUGCUGGCUGGUAGGUCCCGGUAGGUGGGAUGGUGUUCGAUGUCAUGGCUGGACAGCAUGUAGAGGCACUCUCUGGUAGAGCAGAGGGAACAGGCACACAGAGGGACCUUAAAGGAGAGAAGGGGCGUGGCUGAGAGGGGCCUUUACUGAGGGGCUCCCAGGAAGCCCCAGCUGUUGUGUUCCUCCCUCUCAGACCAGCCCUGGGCCAGCAAGUGAGCUAGGGCUGGCUAAGCCCCAAGGUUGUGUAAGGUCAGAGAGGGCGAGCGGGGUCUGCUAAGGGAGAGAGCCAGGAGCCAUGGUGUGUGGCCGGAAAAGGGAGGUGGGUAGUGCUGGGGGGGGGGGGGGGGGCCCCCGGGNCCCCCGGGUCCUUGCAGGAGCCCCAGCUACAGUCCUGUGUGCCACCUGGCUCUAUUGCCCUUGCCCCGUUGCCUGCUGGCGUGUCCUGGCUCUGACCUUGACGUGGAGCUUCACGAAAGAGGCACUCCCCUUAGGCCAGCCAGGGAGGCGGCCUCCAGCCCCACAGCCGCAGCCCAGAAGCUCCUUGCUGAAGUCCGAGCCCUGGCUCAGCACCAGAGAGUGGUUGAGGCCACACCACAGGGCAAUGGGACGUUGCAGAUAAUGCACCUGAGAACACAGGGCCAGGAUCCCUAAGGUGGGAAUGCUGAGGAUUUGAGGGCCCAGGUAGGAGGAGGGCAACAGAAAGGCUCAGGGAAGACUCUAGAAAACUAGGAGAGGGAAGCAAGGGGACUCAGCACCCCCUCAACCCCCACCCAGCCGGAAGGCAGACCAGCAGCAAUCUUUCCCUCCCUAGUUCUCCUGCAGCCCCUGUCGGACUGCAUGGGGUCUAGCACUUCUGUUGGUUCCUCAUCUUUGCUCCUCAGAAAACAGGCUACUUGCCUGCGCCCAGGGCCUGCUACCUGCUCCUUCCUACUACCCCAGACCUGUGCCAGUCCAGGCUCAUCCUGCCUUCCAGCCUCAGGAGGGGGACUAAGUUUCCUCUUCCCAAAGUUUAAAGACUCCCUCCCUCCCUGUACAAUUCCAGGUUAGCCUUCAGGAGGGACCUUCCUUCCACUUAUUCCUCCCUUCUCUCUCUAGCAUUUUCCACUUGUCCUAUCCUUGUCUCCCAAAAUGGCCACUCUGUUUUAAAAAAAAAAAAACAAAAGAAAACAAAAACAAAAACAUUUCCACCUGAUUCCUGCCCCUUCCUACCUCCAUCUUUUAGGCAACAGAACUGGUUAUGUGACCAGUCUGAGGCUGACCACAUUUUUGUUCUCACCACAGCCCAUCUUUCCUGAACUUCUUGUGAUCUGGCUUCCCUGCUUACUAAGCUACUGAUGUGUUCUCCCCAAAUGCACUUGACUUUACAGCUCCCAAACCCCAGGGCCUCUCCUGCAUGCUUUCUCCUGAGAUUAUGAGGGUUUUAAUUUUGAAGACAUAGGUAUGUAAUUUAUGGUCAUUAAAGAAAUGUUAUAAAAUCUUGGAGAGCAAAGAUUAAUUUAAAAAUCACUGGAAAUCCUACCACCCACUAUUAACAUCUUGCUGGGGGUGCCUGAGUGGCUCAGUCAGUUAGGUGUCCUACUUUAACUCAGGUCAUGAUCCUGAGUUCGAGCCCCACAUCGGGCACCCUGCUGUCAGCACAUCAGCAUGGAGCCCCUUCAGAUCCUCUGUCCCCCUUUCUCUCUGCCCCUCCCCUGCUUGUGCACCUUCUCUCUCUCUGAAAAAAUAAACUUAAAAAAAUCUUGCUAGAUAUUCUUUUUUCUUUCUUCUUUUUAUUUUGUAUUUAAGUAGAUUCCUGUGGAGUCUGCUUGGGAUUCUCUCCCUCUCUCUCUGCUCUUCCCCCCCCCAACAUAAAUUAACAUUAAAAAUAAAAAAGAGAGUCAGCUGCUUAACCAUGUGAGCCAAGCAGGCAUCCCUGGAUAUUCUUCUUCACUGCUGCCUCUGUGUGUGUGUGUGUGUGUGUGUGUGUGUGUGUGUGUGUGUGUGUUUUCAAAUUACAGACUUUUAAAUAAAAAUGGGGUUGUACUAUGUAAAUAAUUUUAUAAUUUUUUUUUUCAGCUAAAGAUAUGACCUGACCAUAUUUCCAUGUUGGCAGGUAUAUUCCUAUGUUAUCUGUUACCAUUAAUCACCUCCUCUGUUUGACACUCCCUGUGUCCCUGGCUUCUGGGACUUGGCACCUGAAGGUGUGCCUCCUGCCUCAGAGAUAGCUUCUUCAUUCCCUUUGCCUACAGCAUCAGCUCCUGCCCAGGUUUGUGCCUCUGUCCCUGCUUCUGUCUGUUUCAGCCUUGUUCCAACAUGGAAUCUAAUGCCAGAGAGACAUUUCCACUUUAGAAAAUGUCCAAAUUCACGCUCUUCCUCUUUCCUCAAGCCAGCAUCCCUUUCCACAUUUGUUAGUGAUGCCGUCUCUCUUUAAGGGGUCUACUGCGACAGCCACUUGUGUCCCACACCCAUCUCCUCACAUCUAAUCAGUUUCCAGUACCUAAUCAUUUUCUUUCAAAACAUCUCAGGUAUCCAUUCCUUUCCAUUCCCACUGCCCCAGGCUCUUGUCCCAAGUGCCACUGUCACUCAAUGGUCUCCCAGUGGGCUUCUCAUUCAGUGGCCUCCUGUGCACUCUGGCCAGGUGACCUGUUCUCAGUCAUCUGUGUGUGUGUGUGGCGGGGGGGCCUUCUCUUGCUCCAGAACCUGGAGUGACUUUCCAAAAUCUAUACCUUUUCAGGCUCACCCCUGCCUGUAUCACCUCAUAUCUACGGAUUUCCAAAACAUCCUCUCUGCUUCAGACCAGUCCUUUCAUGGUCCCAGGUAUGUGCAGCUUCGUUCUCAUCCCUGUUACAUGGAAUGCCUUUCCCUGUACCCACACGAAUGUGAUCUAACCCACCAGACCGUGAUCACAUCUCACCUCUUCUAGUUAUACCAGCCCACCGAGGUCUCCCUGCUUCACUAAAUUCCUAUUGCACUGGCAGCAAGCACCACACAGAAUGGACCUCACAGUGCCAACCCUGGGAAAGACACACAACAGUAUCACGCGCAUAAUAUACUGGCUGGCUUAACUUCCCUAGGGAGUAAGAAGUGGGUUCUAAAGAAAGUAGAGAAGAGGAGAGGUCUAAGGUGUAGAGGAUUGGAGGAAGGGGGCCACGAUGAGAAUAACUGAAAACGAAUCUCACCUGUGUGGGUUCCCCUCGGUCCAUUUUGUCCCCUGUUCCCAGCUGCCCAUAUCUGUUAUUUCCCUGCAUAAAGAUUCGGCCAAAUUCAUCCACCAAGCCAAGGUGGUUGUAGCCAAGAGCACAAAAUAGUAUCUAGGAAGUAAGACAGAAAGAGAAGGCAGGCAUUCAGUUCCCUCCAGAGGAACUCUGAGCUCCAAAAUCUCCCAGCCACUAACCUGCCAUUCCCAGCUGAUUUCUUUUGGCCUUGCCCACUACCUCGCCCCUCUCUCUCUGGGCCCCUGUCCCUCCCUGAUCAAUCAUUUGAUUCCUGCUCAUAUUUCAGACCUCUGGUGCCUUUUAAUCCCUAUAUCCCCCUCUGUCCGCCCCUUGGUCCGUCCCAUCCCUCCAGGAUCCUACCUUGGCAGGCAGUGAGAGAGCAAGCGGCAUCUGCUGGUCCAGGGGGUCAAAGGCUUGAAGGGUCCCAAAGAGAUCACGAUACACCCCUGGGGUAUGCACCUCAAAAUAUACUCCCCCCUGGUCUGGGGGGUCAGGAGCCCUCAGCUCAGCAGCUUUGGGCACCCAUUUCCUAGCGAUAAGGCCCUACCUAGGAUGAAAGCUACAAGAUCCAGGGAGUCUCACACCCACUAGAAAUGUACUAUGAUAUCUGGGAACCUAACCUCAUCUUUUCACUAGGAUGCCUGAAGGGGUCCACUGCUAGAGUAAGUAUAAGGGGCUGUCCAUAUCUGGAAAGUCUGUUUAAGACGAGGGUGUGGAGAAGAAGGAAGGUGGUUCUUACCUGUGAUGUAGAGAGUACUGCUCUGGUUAGAAGCCAUGCGGGUCACACGAAGGUGAGGCAGGCAACGGGACACCUUCCUCAGGGCCAGCUGAACUGUGUAGGAGCGUGGCUGGUCCAGCUGGGUUUCAUUCACUACCAAAGAGUAGAUCUUUCCUUCCUCUGGGAGAUGGGGAGAGGCAGACAAUGAUGUGGGGGAGGGGACCUCCCAAUAUCCACAUUAACUUCCCAAUAGACUCUCUAAGCCAUAGCGAUUAAACAUUUAUUGGCCUAGGGUGGGGUUGGAAGAAAAAGGGUAGAGGUGAAAUACAGGAAGCGUGACCUCAAGUUGCCCAGACUCUAGCCCUGUACCACCAAAAAUGAAUCAGGGAAACCCUUCAGUGUGAAUGAUGAGUGGAGAGAAAACCAGCAGUUAGAUCUGCCAGAAUCCAAUUUGAGUGUUGGGAGGAACGAUGCCUGGGGACUUGGGGCUCUGCCUGGAAUUAAGAAGUCCAGAGGGUCUGAGGCUUGGGAGUAGGGUCAAAUAUAGGGGACAGGGACACCAGUCUGCUUCAGUCAGAACAGCGCAUGACUCUUGAUCUCAGGGUUGUGAGUUUGAGCACCACACUGGGUGGAGAGAUUACUUAAGUAAAUAAAAAUUAAAAUUAAAAAAGUGUAUACAUGUAUGUGACAAUCAGCAAGGUGGGGGUAAGUUUGGGGUAUUAAGUGAAGUGCCUAGCAGGAAGUGAGGAAGAUUAGAAUUUCGAAAAUCAGGCUUUCACUAGAACAGUGGUUUCCAAACUAUUUUUUUGCAGCAGGGCCCUUUAUUCAUAUGAAAUACACAGAAUCUGGGGCGCCUGGGUGAUGCAGCUGGUCAACCAUCCCACUUUUGAUCUCAGCUCAGGUCAUGAUCUCACAGUUUUUGAGUUCAAGUCCUGCAUCAGGCUCUGCCCUGAUGGUGCUGAGCCUGCUUGGGAUUCUCUCUCUCCUUCUCUCUCUGCCCCUCCCCUGCUUGUGCACAGGUGAUAAACUUAAAAAAAAAUUUUUUUAAGUUGUUUAAAAAAAAAAAAAAGCAGAAUCUUAGUCUAUGAGACAGACAAAAAGCAAAGCUAUUUGGUUUGAGACCAGGAUGAGGUGGCAUGCAGAAAGGCCUUCCCCUCCCCUGCAGCAGGUCCUGAACCAUGUGUAGAAAACAAUUUGCAAACCACUGCUCUAGGCCACACCUGUGAGAAGCAGUAGAGCCCGCUGGUUCUCCUGACCAACCAGCACAAUCUGUUUGAAGCUCAUGGAGUGGUGGAAGGUCAUCUUGAAGACCCGCUGCCCACUGGACUGCAGAUAGACCUCGACACAGUCACAGGCCCGGCUGCCCGUUGUGCCUACCACUGCUGGCUGCUCCCGGGUGGCCAAUACAUAGAGGUAUUUACGGUAAACGGUGUCACAUCUUGGGUCCGAGGCAAACUAUAGGAAAAGAUGAAGCUGUCUGGGAUCUAGGUCUUAGAGUGGAAUGAGGCUUGGGGGUGACAGGAUCCUGGGGUGAGAAAUGAGAUACUUGGGUUCAGGGCUGGGAAAAGAGGGUUUAGUUUUCAGUUCCUGAUAUGGGAGGGCAGACGUCCUGAGGAGAGUACCUCCGGACUGGUGUGGGUCCCGGAGGAGCCCCGGAGGAGGGGUGGGGUCUCAGCUCCUAGGGCUCUGCUACUCACAUCCUUGGCUCCGCGACACAAUACAACAUAGCGGCAGGCUCGCUUCCACUGGAUCUGGCCAAGGGUAGAGGAGACCAGGGCAUUUUUGAGGAAGAAGAGGGUCCCCGUGUAGUCAAGAAUGAAGACAUGGUCCUUGGUGGGCAAGAAGCGGCGGUAGCCAUGGGCUAGCAGGGGGGCUACACUCUUGCUGAGACAGCGGCGGCGGCCUCCAAAUGCCUGGAAAUACAGGCCCUUCGUGUCUGGAGAAGGGAAGGAGAUGGAAGGCUCAAGGGGUCAGGAUGGCACAGAGAAGAGUUGUCAGAGCUUGGGCAAACUAUAGUUCUCAGAGAGCCGGGUACUUAGCAGCUCCCAUAGCAGCUCCCUUAGCAGCAGGACUGGGGAACAGGGACUUUUCUAAAUGACAUAUGGAAAGCUUAGAAGAUAUCUUUAAUAAUCCCCUACACAGGCUAUCUUUAAUAAUCCCUUAUGCCUGAACUUUAGUUCUCUGCCCCCUACCCCAAGCCCAGGGCACUACACAUGCUUCUAAGUGAGGGCUUCUUUAGUCCAACCUUGCAUCAGAGACAUCAAGGGAAAUAUAGUACAUAGAAAAGCAGCAGACAGAGGAGCGAAAAGGAAUGGCUGAGAAAGGCCAGUAACGGCCCUCACCCCUAGCUCUGGAUCUGCUAUCUGGAUCAGAUCUGGAUCUCCCUGAAUCUCCAGUGUGUGCAGCCAGGUACUUGGAUAGGGGCUCCCUGGGAAUGGAGGGCUUCAGAGCAUGUUUCUCAACGUGGGGGUGAUUUUGUCCUCAGGGAACAUUGGUUGUCAUAACUGGGGGGAGCUUUGUUACUGGCAUCUAGUGGGUGGAGGCCAGGGAUGCUGCUAAACGUCCUGCAAUGUGCAGGACAGCCCCUCACUCCAAAUAAUUAUUUGGCCCCAAAUGUCAACAGUGGCAGGUUGAGAAAUCCUGGUUUAGAGGAGGGAAAACUCCAGGUUUGGGGAGUGGAGGAGAUGACCGGGGUAGGAUUUGGAAGAGAGUUCGAAUACGGAGGCUGACUUGGCAGGGAUGCUAGUAACGGGGGCUCCGGGUGGGACGUCUAUCAGAGGGUGGAGCUGGAGGCUUGCAGAGCUCCUAGAUGGAUGGCGUGUUUGAAUCUAACAGGCUCUUCUAGAGAAAGGGGCCCUGGCAGGUUGGCUAGGAAUGCUGAGGCAACUCUAUGGAACAGGAGGGAUCCCAGAAUAAUAAGGCACAGGAUAGAGGCAAAGAGAACUGAGGUUCUGGGGAGGUGUACAGUUAAGAAUGGCAGCUCUCUUCCAGGGCCGGACCCCAGAGCCCUGCUCUCGUAGACGAGGACUAAGCCUGCGACAGAUGCGUCUCCACACGCCCUCAGCGUCGCACACUUCAUGGAAGUAGUGGCAGGUCUGGCCCAGAGCGACUACAUCUCUGACUGGGAGGAAUGAGAUGAUAUGCUCCACCUGGGGGGUGGGCAGGAGGGAGGAAGCAGGAAUCAUCAAGGGGGCUCCUCAUCACGCUGGUCCCCUGCCCUUUAUUCUGGAAUCCCUCCCCAUGGAUGACUCACCAGCUCUGGGGGGAACAGCUGAACAGAAAUAGGGUUCCCUCUGCCCUUCUUCUCUUCACCCCCAGGCUCUGGGCCACAUGAAGGGCAGCUCCGCUUCACCUACCCAAGAAGGGAGAGCACAGGGAUUCCAUGAGAGUCAGGCCUCCUUUUCUCCCUUCUGUCAGCCUUUCAUUAGCUUCUUUCUUAGGGGCUCAUGGCUCUGUGCCCUCAAAUCUUCCUAUCUUUCUCUCUAGGUCCAUGGGACACCCCUCCCUGUCUGCCGUGUUUCUGGAUUCACCAGCUCCAAAGAACCCCUCCCCUGAUCUCUUGCUGCCAUCUUCUUGUCCUUCUCUUGCCUCACCCUCCCACCCCCUCACCCUGAGGCCCUCCUCCUGUCUGCACAGCCCGGUGAAUUUUUGCAGCCUUCUUCUCCGGCUUCUCCUCACCAUCUUGACUGCCCCGUCCCUGCUCCUGCCCUCAUCCUCCGGGCCCCCCGACCCCCCCGUAGUCAGCUCCCUGGCCCCCGUUCCUGCUGCCUUUCCCACACCAUGUCCCCCGCCUGGGCUUGGGGGACCUCUGGGGCCCCUCAGCCUUCUAGGCCCCUCCCCCAUGGAGUCUGGGAAGACAAACCUCUCUGUGACCUCACUGUCCAGUCACUGUGACCUAUUUUCCCCAACCCUGCCAGGAUUUUCUUAGACAGUUCCUGGGUUCUAGCUUGGCUCUAGCCACCCAGUGGCUCAUGGGAUAUGCAUGAGCCCCUCCUCCAGGAGAAAGAAAGUGUGAAUGACUGCU